Molecule: long non-coding RNA, 384 nt
Organism: Gorilla gorilla gorilla (western lowland gorilla)
Lineage: Eukaryota; Metazoa; Chordata; Mammalia; Primates; Hominidae
Exons: 2
Source: RefSeq, a predicted model, not a curated record
GGAAGGGGAACAACCACAUUUGACUUGUAUCCAUAGAGGAUAAACUCAACUUAGCUAUUGAGCAUGUGAAGGAAACCAUCAGUGAACAAGAGAUUUCAACAAACAUUUAGAAGACAGGAAGCACAUGAGGGCACAUCAAAGGAAACAAGGAGGCCAGAGAAAUUGGAGGUCGCAGCUGUAGUGGACGAAGGAGCUGAUUCAUCACGCAGAAACUCUGAGAGGAUCUGGGCUCAGAGUUGGCAGGUGUUGGGGGCAGAGCAAGAAAGUCUCUACAUGCCCCUGGCCCACAUGUCCUCUGCCCAAAUCUAGUGCUCAGGCAACCCAACUUUAGCCCCUGGGGUAGAAGAACCUUCUCUAAAAUAUUAAAUUCUGGAUAGUGCUGAA